Long non-coding RNA from Medicago truncatula (barrel medic), 1872 nucleotides. RefSeq lists it as uncharacterized. The record is from RefSeq and is a predicted model, not a curated record. The transcript is spliced from 2 exons. NCBI's taxonomy places the organism in Eukaryota, Viridiplantae, Streptophyta, Magnoliopsida, Fabales, Fabaceae.
UUUUCCUCAACUCUGCUAUAUAUAAUAGCUUCUCUUGUUAAUCUCUUCUUCAUCCAAAUUCCAAACCCUAGCCAACUAGUAGAAGCAGCUAGCAUCACUUAAUAUUCAAAUCUCAUCUUCAGAAGCUUAAUUUCUUUUUAGUUAUUGUUUUCCAUCAUGCACCAUACCAAGUUGAAGCUGCCAGCAUGAUCUUAACUGGCCUCCUUUGUAGGUUAAAGAUCAGAUCAUGGUGGCAGUUUCACCUAGUUGUUGGCUGCAUGCAUAUACCCUUCUUUUUUGUUUUCUGUUUUUGUUUAAUUCUAUGCCCUAUCUUUUUAUAGAUUUUUCUUGAUAAUUCUUUCCCUGUGUGGGAAAUAUAUACCAGAAGAUGAGUAAUAUCGAUUCAUUAUUUUUCUUCAGCCUUUAUUGCUCUUAAAAAAGUUGAUUAUGUUUCUUUAGCUUUUAACAAGGAUAUAAUUAAGAUUUUAUGAUUAUUUAUUUAUUCACUGCAAGAAAUCAGAAAAUAUUAUGUGAGUGAAAUUGAAAAGUUUGUAAAGUAGAUGAAGAAAUUGGAGUGGCAGCUUCUAGUAGAUGAAGAAAUUGAAUGUUUGUUGCACGGUGCAAUGCAUUAAUUCCAGAACAACUAAAUCUGAUUCUUGCAGUGCUUCUUUUUUAUGAUAUUUGCAUUAAAUUUAUAUGUCAAAUGGGGAUUUUUAUUUUUUUCUAGCCCUUUCUAUUUCUUUGUGGUGAGAUGAUAAUAGUUAAGAAACUAUAGGGUUGUUCAUGAUGUCUUGAUUUUUUAAGAUUCACAUGAACUCUUUUAAGUUUUAAGGUCCUUUCUUUCCUCUUUUAUUUUUUUCAAAGAUCUAAAAUUAAUCAGGAAUUAUUAAGAGAUUGAGAGAGAAUAGAGUCAUAUCUUGUACUUCAUACAGUUUUCCCAUGACAUUUUGAGAUUAUUAGCUUAAUUGACUUAAUUACAUUAUAUUUAUACAUGUACUAGUCUAGCAUGAUAUCAAUAUUAAUUACUAGCUUCAAAUAAAUAAUUAAAUAAUUGAAGAUUGUUGUUCAUAUUACAAGGUGAGUUGCAUCUACUUAUAGAUUGAUUUGAGGAAGAAUGAAUCUGAAAAUGGGACAAAAUAACAAUUCCAUUGCUGAAGUCAUGGUAGAUUCCCAAUAUCUCAAUGUACUUAGUUUCCUCAUAUAUCUUGCUAGUAUAUAUAUGAGUACUGCAACCUUUUUCCUUUCGAUUUGAAAUUUGGACCAUUCCUUUAUAUAUAUGCUAUGCAUCAUGAGACAAUCAUGUGAAUCAAUUUUUACAUUGAACUUGAUUUUCCUUGGAAGAAUCUCACAUAUAUGGAUAAUGAAUUGAUGUCAUCAUUGUCAUGACUCAUGAUAUGCAGGUUUCUGACAAGAAAUACUAGCACAUGAACCACCAUAUCUUCAUAAAUCAAUACUAUAUGAUAUCAUAUCUGGUUGUUGUAGUUGUAUCAGUUUCAACUUCACUCUCUUUAAUUUGUCCUUUUGGGUGGCAGCUGCACAUGGUAUACCACAUAAUGGAAAUAUUUGAGACUAUAUUGGUGAUCAGGAAAAUGACCUAUUGGUUAGAAAAUUAAAGGCUAUCAAGAACCUUUUAUUUCUUGUUUUAGUUAGAGCUAGUGACAUGAUAGAUGUAAGACAUAUAUGUCAUUAUCUAUUUUAUAGAUUGUGAGUUUUAAAUGCUUACUGUAAUAAUUUUGGUGGUUAGUAGUAAGGGUAGGAGAAGGAAAGAAGAUGGUAUUGUGUUGCAAUACUAAGUCAUUUUCCAUUUAGUUUGUAUAGAUAGAUUAACUGCAUUGUAAAAUAUACAACAUUGAUAAGUGAUUUUGAAUAACCAUUUCCAUGUAAUUUUAUUAA